Long non-coding RNA from Oreochromis aureus, 724 nucleotides. RefSeq lists it as uncharacterized. Lineage: Eukaryota; Metazoa; Chordata; Actinopteri; Cichliformes; Cichlidae. The record is from RefSeq and is a predicted model, not a curated record. The transcript is spliced from 3 exons.
CUUGGCUGCCAUGCUAAUGGACAGAAACUGCCACCUAUGGUGAUUUUUAAGAGAAAGACUUUGCCUAAAGAGAAGUUUCCAGCAGGAAUCAUCAUUAAGGCAAAUGAAAAGGGCUGGAUGGAUGAGGAAAUGAUGAAAGAGUGGCUGAGGGAGGUGUAUGUAAGGAGACCAGGUGGUUUUUUCCACGCAUCACCAUCGCUCUUAAUCUGUGACUCUAUGCGUGCCCAUCUCACAGCCGAAUUCAGACACAGAGGAUGAGGACUUCGAUGGGUUUGAUUGAUGAUAAAAAUGCCUCCUCCCGAUAAUGCUGUCACUACUUGCAGCAUCAAGCAGCCCCAGCCAGGGUGACGGAUGUGUGGAAGCACGAGUGUUGUCAAAGGCUUGGUGGAUGUGUGGCAGAGGCAGCGUAAUCCCUCUGGGGAUGUACUUUCUGGGGUUUCAAGCUCCUGUUUCAAGACACAUAAGCAGAUUAGAAACUGAACACCGUGUGCUGACAUUAACAUAAAUUAUUCUCUGUGUCUGUUUGACCUGUGAAGGACUCAUCGUUUCCCUCGGGAGCCUCCAUGCUUCACAAACGCUGGAUUUCUCCCUUCAUGUGGCCAGAAUCACUAAAUCAACAAACUGCACCUGCUGCAGCGGCUACUUUCACACGCUCACAGAUAUUGUACUUCCCUUUCAAUGCAUGUUUGUUCUACAGACUUGAUUAAAUGUUACAAUACGUGUC